UACGUAGGUGGCGAGCGUCGUCCGGAUUUACUGGGCGUAAAGGGAGCGUAGGCGGACUUUUAAGUGAGAUGUGAAAUACUCGGGCUCAACUUGAGUGCUGCAUUUCAAACUGGAAGUCUAGAGUGCAGGAGAGGAGAAUGGAAUUCCUAGUGUAGCGGUGAAAUGCGUAGAGAUUAGGAAGAACACCAGUGGCGAAGGCGAUUCUCUGGACUGUGACUGACGCUGAGGCUCGAAAGCGUGGGGAGCAAACAGG
RNAcentral lists this ribosomal RNA (253 nucleotides) under uncultured bacterium. RNAcentral's name for it is "partial 16S ribosomal RNA". It matches the Rfam family "Bacterial small subunit ribosomal RNA", at positions 524 to 776 of the family's 1533-position model. The record is from RNAcentral.